This 49-nucleotide non-coding RNA is filed under the name Schistosoma mattheei. The record is from RNAcentral. Lineage: Eukaryota; Metazoa; Platyhelminthes; Trematoda; Strigeidida; Schistosomatidae.
AUCCAGCUGACGAGUCCCAAGUAGAACGAAACGAUCGCCAGAACUGGAU